RNAcentral lists this ribosomal RNA (466 nucleotides) under uncultured bacterium. RNAcentral describes it as "partial 16S ribosomal RNA". It matches the Rfam family "Bacterial small subunit ribosomal RNA", at positions 28 to 507 of the family's 1533-position model. The record is from RNAcentral.
GAUGAACGCUGGCGGCGUGCUUAACACAUGCAAGUCGAACGGGAAGGCCCUGCUUGCAGGGUACUCGAGUGGCGAACGGGUGAGUAACACGUGGGUGAUCUGCCCUGCACUUCGGGAUAAGCCAGGGAAACUGGGUCUAAUGCCGGAUAGGAGCCAUUUUUAGUGUGAUGGUUGGACAGGUUUUUUCGGUGUAGGGUGAGCUCGCGGCCUAUCAGCCUGUUGGUGGGGUAAUGGGCUACCAAGCCGGCGACGGGUAGCCGGCCUGAGAGGGUGGACGGCGACACUGGGACUGAGAUGCGGCACAGACUCCUACGGGAGGCAGCAGUGGGGAAUAUUGCACAAUGGGCGCAAGCCUGAUGCAGAGACGCCGCGUGGGGGAUGACGGCCUUCGGGGUGGAAACUCCUUUCGCAAGGGACGAAGCAUUUUGUGACGGUACCUAGACAAGAAGCACCGGCUAACUACGUG